UGCCUCUUAAAUGACAGGUGCCCCAUCUUUUAUUGUAGCGUUGAAAUUCCCAUCAAGUGAGAAAGGCACAAUGUAGAAUUUAUGAGGACUUGCCUCCUGACUUGAGCCACGGAAACACUACCACAGCGUCUACCCUCAGCCUUUUCCUGUGUCCCUCUCCCCUGUUGUCCUCUGGCCUCCUGGGUCUUUAUUUUUUUCUUCCUAUUCAUGUCACCUAAGGCAUCCCUCCAGCACAUGGCUCUUGUUUCUACUUCUGACUACAUCUAAAUGCCAUCUGUAAAGUUAGAGAUUCUUACGGAGCUUGUGUUUAAACCUCACGAGUGUCAGCACAUUGUUUCAAACUGCAACCUAAUUAUUAAAUGUAAGUUUGAAGACUGGUGAUGAUUCAUAUUUCCCAGCAUCCAUACUUUGCAGUUUGUUUUUCUUGGCAAGAGUUUGUUUCAAGUAUCCAUGAAUGAAGAGAAAGGUUUCUUGUGUUUUGAUUUCUAGAAAGAAGUAAUGAGUCUUUUCCUGCCAUCUUUUAAGAUAUUAUUUUACCUUUUAUAGAUAGCAGGGUUUAAAUCUGUUCAUUAAUAUUAUAGGCCAGUUAUUUCUUAAUCUGUAGACUUUUCCUUAGGGGACCCUCCUUAAUUAUCUAUGACUGUUAAAGCCCACCCCCUAAAAACGUCCAUUUUAUGGUCACUGAAUUUCAGUUAGAAAAGAUUUUCACCUGAAAGUCGUUAUUUAUAUUAUGAAAAUUGGUGGGUUUAUGUAUCAUUGCUUAAAAUGGUUUGUGUUUAUGUUUUCUCAUGUGUCGUUGAAGAAUUUUCACUCUUCCCUCCACAUGGACCCUACAGUGCACGUGUACCCUCAGUCACACCUCUAGGCUUAGUCCAGUUCAGCCUCUUCCUGUGUCGUUUCCCUUUAAGUUAAAAAUUCGAUACCCCUACUUUUACUUUUCUUCUUUAUUUUCUUUGUCUCAUUUUAUUUAAUCGAAGGAACCCGUAAGACUGUCAUAUAACUAGAAAUAAAUGGUAUCUUAUAUGUUUGUCCAUUACUAAAAUUCAUAAAGAGGUGGAAAAUGAUGACUGCUACCUUCCUUUAUUCUUACCACAGAUACUGCAAGAAAAUAAAAAAUAAAGCACCCAGUCAUCAUAGCCAAGAGAGUCUACAUAACACUGUCCGUGCCUGUGGAGCAUCACAUGAGGGCUAACACUGUCCCGGUGAUAGCAUAGCGGGGGCACUCAUCAAACGUCGUCCAACAUCCACUGAAUAGUAUGAGUGUGAUGUAUUUGACUUUGAGGAUAUUACUGGGAGUUCAUAUUUCAUUCCACAACCGUUCAGAAAGUUUUCUUUGGUAACACUCAGUGAUUUGGAAUGCUUUUGAAAAUCUGAGAUAGAACAGACCUUGAGGCUUAGUGUUCGCUACCUGAACUAUCAUUUUCUAGACUAGUGUCUCACUGGUUAGCUGCACUACCAGCCUUGGCUUAUCAUGUUUACUUCAAUAAUACCUUUGUUUUGUUGUGCUUUCUUUUUUUUGACCUUACCAUCUUUUUAAAAUAAAUGUAGAUCACUAUCCUCUGCCAGCAGUGGGAAUGUCAAGGCCACCACUGUGAAAGAGAAUGUACUGGUAACUCAGUCUCCACAGCAGUGCUCAGAAGGGGCCUCCGUCUGUAAACUCUUUCCUGUGGAAGCAAGUGGAACUGAGUUCAGAUUCCUAUUUACAAAGCCGAGCAAAUCAGCAAGUUCUUAUCAUGCUGGUACUGGGGAGGGAGAGUAGGAGGAUCCCGGAGCUGGCUGGCCAGCUAGUAUAACUGAAUCUGAGGGUCCCGGCCACUGAAAGACAGGCAUAAGGUGUGGGGCAAAAGGAAAAGAAAUGCAGUGUUGCCCUCUGGGCUCCACACAUGCACAUACACACACACAAUUAAAAUGGCUUUACAAAGCCGUUGUGUCCUAGUCACUCUUCUAUUGCUCUGAAGAGACACAAUGACCAAGGCAAAUUAAAUGAGAAAGCAUUUAAAUAGGGGCUCGCUUACUUUGUGUCAGUAUGGCGGCAGGCAUGACACUGGAGCAGUGGUUGAGAGCUUCCAUCUGAUCUACAAGCGAGAGGCAGGUGAAUGAGACUGGGCGGCCUGGCUUGAGCUUUUCAAGCCUUACUACCCACCCUCAGUCACUCUCUCUCCAACGAAGCCGUCGAUUCUUCCAGAACAGCUCUACCAAAUAGGAAGUAAGCAUUCAAAUAUGUGAACCUAUGAAGCCAUUUCUGUUCAAACCACCACGCCAAGCUCAGCGUGUUGUUAUGUUUUGCUAUGUUAUCCUUAUUCUCUUUGGUGUUCACUGUCUACCCAAAAUGUCUAGCCUGCAUGCAACCUUGAAAAUGUAAUUAUAAUAAUGCAAAUUCAGAGUUUAAUAUUCUUAUGGAAAAAUCUAUUCUCCUGAUUUUGUACUUGGAAGCAAACCAUAUACCUUAAUUCCACAGAGUGGCUUUCAAGAGCAGGACAGCUCUAGGUAUAGCAGGAAAUGCUGGUUAUAGAAAUACCCUCACAAAACACAGCAACCCAGCGACUCUCCAAGCUUCUAAGUCACAGCUAUAAAAAAGUCAAAUGGCCUUUUACUUUUUUAGCAGAGACAUUGCGUUUGCCAGCUAAACCCAUUCUAAUGCACAUUUUUCUGUUUUGUACUGUGUGUUCUCAAGAAGCUGAUUUGUUUAUUCAUUUAGACAGAAAUAAAACUGUAAGCCUGUGAUUUGAAAGGCAAAGACAGGAUUAUGAUCAAAUUUAGGCUAGCCUGAGCUACAUUGAUAUCCUGUCUUAAAAUAUAUAUAUAUAAGAAUCAUGAAAUAAAAAGACAUU
RNAcentral lists this long non-coding RNA (2831 nucleotides) under Mus musculus (house mouse). Its description in RNAcentral is "long non-coding RNA chr14:21351467-21354298". The record is from RNAcentral. Lineage: Eukaryota; Metazoa; Chordata; Mammalia; Rodentia; Muridae.